This 460-nucleotide ribosomal RNA is filed under the name uncultured bacterium. RNAcentral's name for it is "partial 16S ribosomal RNA". It matches the Rfam family "Bacterial small subunit ribosomal RNA", at positions 338 to 795 of the family's 1533-position model. The record is from RNAcentral.
CCUACGGGUGGCAGCAGUGAGGAAUAUUGGUCAAUGGACGCAAGUCUGAACCAGCCAUGCCGCGUGCAGGAAGACGGCUCUAUGAGUUGUAAACUGCUUUUGUACGAGGGUAAACGCCGUUACGUGUAUCUCUCUGCAAGUAUCGUACGAAUAAGGACCGGCUAACUCCGUGACAGCAGCCGCGGUAAUACGGAGGAUUCAAGCGUUAUCCGGAUUUAUUGGGUUUAAAGGGUGCGUAGGCGGUCGGAUAAGUUAGAGGUGAAAUCCCGCGGCUCAACUUGGGAAUUGCCGCUGAUACUGUUGGGCUAGAGAGUAGUUGCGGUAGGCGGAAUGUAUGGUGUAGCGGUGAAAUGCUUAGAGAUCAUACAGAACACCGAUUGCGAAGGCAGCUUACCGAGCUACAUCUGACGUUGAUGCACGAAAGCGUGGGGAGCAAACAGGAUUAGAUACCCUAGUAGUC